GUUGAAAUCGUCGACCGGGUCCGA
Molecule: non-coding RNA, 24 nt
Filed under: Arabidopsis thaliana (thale cress)
Lineage: Eukaryota; Viridiplantae; Streptophyta; Magnoliopsida; Brassicales; Brassicaceae
Source: RNAcentral